This 758-nucleotide long non-coding RNA is filed under the name Phoenix dactylifera (date palm). RNAcentral describes it as "long non-coding RNA (PDAC_LNC000641)". The record is from RNAcentral. Lineage: Eukaryota; Viridiplantae; Streptophyta; Magnoliopsida; Arecales; Arecaceae.
ACAAUGAGCAAGAUGGGUGCCAUAUUGGCCUCUGGAAUUCUUGAUGCUGGUGGAAGGAAUGUGACAAUUAAGCUGCUAUCCAAAACGAAGCAUGAUAAAAUCACAGCAGUUGUUGGGCUUGCAGUGUUCAGCCAAUUUUGGUAUUGGUAUCCCCUUCUCUAUUUCAUAAGCCUCUCUUUCUCUCCCACUGCCUUCAUUGGACUCAAUUAUGAUCUGAAAGUUCCAAGAUUUGAGUUCUUAUCAAAUGCCAAGGCUUCCCUAUUUGAGUAUCCACGCCCAACCACACCUCCCACAUCAACUUCAGCUGUCAAGUUACCCACUGCUAUUUUAUCAACAACUGCAAAAGCAAAAUCAAAAGCAAAGAAAGAUGCAGAACAUAAAGCUAGUUCUGAGAAGUCAUCCAGUGAAAAGGGUCCUAAAUCUUCUGAGAAGGAUGCCGAUGUGAUGUAAGCAUGAUAAAAUCACAGCAGUUGUUGGGCUUGCAGUGUUCAGCCAAUUUUGGUAUUGGUAUCCCCUUCUCUAUUUCAUAAGCCUCUCUUUCUCUCCCACUGCCUUCAUUGGACUCAAUUAUGAUCUGAAAGUUCCAAGAUUUGAGUUCUUAUCAAAUGCCAAGGCUUCCCUAUUUGAGUAUCCACGCCCAACCACACCUCCCACAUCAACUUCAGCUGUCAAGUUACCCACUGCUAUUUUAUCAACAACUGCAAAAGCAAAAUCAAAAGCAAAGAAAGAUGCAGAACAUAAAGCUAGUUCUGAGAAGU